Molecule: unclassified non-coding RNA, 559 nt
Filed under: Hevea brasiliensis (rubber tree)
Lineage: Eukaryota; Viridiplantae; Streptophyta; Magnoliopsida; Malpighiales; Euphorbiaceae
Source: RNAcentral
AGUUGGGGUUUUGCUCAGGUGGGACAGAGAGGGCCUGGUAGCAAACAUGGCAGGGCGGAUCCGAUGGCUGGAUGAGGCACAUUCCAAAGGGAACGGUGUUGGAGCACCCAGUCCCCAGAAAGAUCAAAGCUGAUCUAACCGCAUCAUGAAUGCUGUUUUGUGUGAGAUCUUGAGUUUCCAUUGCAGUUGAGUUCUUACUCGGCUUACCAGAGACAAACUAUAUAGGCUAAAAGGUGGAUGUAAAAGAUGUUUUCUGGUGUGGAUUAUUGGAUGGACGCUUGAGUUUGGAAGGAGGAAAUUGAACGGCAAUGGCAAUUUGCCUAGUAUUCUUUGUCACUUGAAGCUUUUAAGAUUUACAGAUGAAAGAAACUAAUAAGAAACUCCAAGAGGACCAAGAUAGUCUGGUGCUUUGACCUUUUCUACUUGCUAUUCAAACUUAUUAAUUUAUAAACAAACAAUAAAUUAGGCAGGUCUCCGUGAAAUUUACUUAAAUUGUAGUUAACCCCAGAAGCCAACAGUAUUUAUCUCCUUUGAGAAAAAAAAAAAAAAAUCCCUGCCA